UACGUAGGGUGCAAGCGUUGUCCGGAAUUAUUGGGCGUAAAGAGCUCGUAGGCGGUUUGUCGCGUCGAAUGUGAAAACCCGGGGCUCAACCCCGGGCCUGCAUUCGAUACGGGCAGACUAGAGUUCGGUAGGGGAGUCUGGAAUUCCUGGUGUAGCGGUGAAAUGCGCAGAUAUCGGGAGGAACACCGGUGGCGAAGGCGGGACUCUGGGCCGAUACUGACGCUGAGGAGCGAAAGCGUGGGGAGCAAACAGG
This 253-nucleotide ribosomal RNA is filed under the name uncultured bacterium. Its description in RNAcentral is "partial 16S ribosomal RNA". It matches the Rfam family "Bacterial small subunit ribosomal RNA", at positions 524 to 776 of the family's 1533-position model. The record is from RNAcentral.